CACAGACACUGGGGAAGCCACUGACUCCCUCUCUGGGGUGGCCAUUCCCACUCCACGGGACCAGAGGAAUCCCAACCACCCCCGGGACUCAGCCCACACAAAUUCAGCCACGCUCAGGGCAGCCCAGGGCUUCCCUGGGAACUGCAGUGCUGCUGCUCACACUUGGCCUUGGAACCAACUGGAGAUGGUGCCUGGCCCAGCAGCGUGCAGCUGAGACUCGUGACGCCGCCAGGCUCUGGGUUCCCACCGGCAACCGGCACUUUUUUCAUCUCCGCUUCUCCCGAUAAUGUCCGGCGAGUCCUCGACACCCGAGAACCACCCUUUGUGCAAAAGGCUGCUGUUGCCACUCCCCCCAGCAGCCCCUCGAGGGACUGGACACGCUCUCUCCUGCAGCCUGUGCACUCAGAAAACCUGAAGCUGCUGAUCAUGGCACUGAGACCACCCCAGGGCUCUUUUCCAGUCCUUCGGGGAACUGAGGGGCUGAACUGGCCAUUGAGUAACAGCCUCAGAAGUGUCCAGUGCAAGCCGAGGGAGGUGUGACAGUGUCAGAGAAGCGGGUUGCUCUGGAUACGGGACAGGUUUCCGGCAGCCCGGUCACACCGGACCCCUAUCUCCUGAUCUGCGCCACGGACUCCCUCCAGGCCAGAGAAAAGAUACACGAUGCUGCUCUGGAACCACACCUGCAAUCAGAGCCCUGAGGUGCAAUGAUUGGUUUUUUUACAAGUCAUCUUACUAUCCUUGAAGGCAGCAGUGCCUCUCAUGCUUUCGUGUGCAUGAACAUCCCCUCAAGCUCCUGUUAAAAUGCAGGUUCUGCCCUGACCGGUGUGGCUCCAUGGGUGGGAGCGUUGUCCCGUGAACUGAAGGGCACAUGCUUGGGUUGCGGGUUCCAUCGCUGGUCAGGGCACAUGCAAGAGACAGCCUAUUGAUGUUUCUCUCCCCCUCUUCUUCCCCUCCCCUCUCUCU
Molecule: long non-coding RNA, 963 nt
Organism: Artibeus jamaicensis (Jamaican fruit-eating bat)
Lineage: Eukaryota; Metazoa; Chordata; Mammalia; Chiroptera; Phyllostomidae
Exons: 3
Source: RefSeq, a predicted model, not a curated record